Molecule: ribosomal RNA, 437 nt
Filed under: Spherillo grossus
Lineage: Eukaryota; Metazoa; Arthropoda; Malacostraca; Isopoda; Armadillidae
Description: partial 18S ribosomal RNA
Rfam family: Eukaryotic small subunit ribosomal RNA
Source: RNAcentral
UCGGCGGGAGCCCCGGGAACCAAAGUUUUGAGUUCCGGGGAAGUAUGGUUGCAAAGCUGAAACUUAAAGGAAUGACGGAAGGCACCACCAGGAGUGGAGCCUGCGGCUAAAUUGACUCAGCACGGGGAACCUCACCAGGCCCAGACACCGGAAGGAUUGACAGAUUGAGAGCUCUUUCUCGAUUCGGUGGGUGGUGGUGCAUGGCCGUUCUUAGUUGGUGGAGCGAUCUGUCUGGUUGAUUCCGAUAACGAACGAGACUCUAGCCUGCUAACUAGUCGGCGGAUCGUCUCCCGAGACGGGUUUCCUUCCGCGGGGGCUUAGGGCGAGGGUAGCUCACGGGGGGCUCGUCGUUUCUCUCGUUCUCGGCAACGCGGGGUAGGUCGAAGGUAGAUGACGGAAAAGACGAGGAGGGUGGCGAGAGUCGUUGGCGGUCGGUU